This 486-nucleotide ribosomal RNA is filed under the name uncultured bacterium. Its description in RNAcentral is "bacterial SSU rRNA". It matches the Rfam family "Bacterial small subunit ribosomal RNA", at positions 30 to 510 of the family's 1533-position model. The record is from RNAcentral.
AUUGAACGCUGGCGGCAGGCCUAACACAUGCAAGUCGAGCGGAUGAAGGGAGCUUGCUCUCUGAUUUAGCGGCGGACGGGUGAGUAAUGCCUAGGAAUCUGCCUGGUAGUGGGGGAUAACGUUCCGAAAGGAACGCUAAUACCGCAUACGUCCUACGGGAGAAAGCAGGGGACCUUCGGGCCUUGCGCUAUCAGAUGAGCCUAGGUCGGAUUAGCUAGUUGGUGAGGUAAUGGCUCACCAAGGCGACGAUCCGUAACUGGUCUGAGAGGAUGAUCAGUCACACUGGAACUGAGACACGGUCCAGACUCCUACGGAGGCAGCAGUGGGGAAUAUUGGACAAUGGGCGAAAGCCUGAUCCAGCCAUGCCGCGUGUGUGAAGAAGGUCUUCGGAUUGUAAAGCACUUUAAGUUGGGAGGAAGGGCAGUAAGCUAAUACCUUGCUGUUUUGACGUUACCGACAGAAUAAGCACCGGCUAACUUCGUGCCA